GCUAUCAUAGCUCAAAUGGUAGAGCGGUUGACUUUUAAUCAACAGGUUUUCGGUUCGAAUCCGAACGGUAGCU
RNAcentral lists this transfer RNA (73 nucleotides) under Mediterraneibacter faecis. RNAcentral's name for it is "tRNA-Lys". It matches the Rfam family "tRNA". From Rfam's summary of the family: Transfer RNA (tRNA) molecules are approximately 80 nucleotides in length. Their secondary structure includes four short double-helical elements and three loops (D, anti-codon, and T loops). The record is from RNAcentral. RNAcentral also lists the same sequence under 1 other name. Lineage: Bacteria; Bacillati; Bacillota; Clostridia; Lachnospirales; Lachnospiraceae.